GCGGGUGUAGCUCAGUGGUAGAGCUCCAGCCUUCCAAGCUGGCCAUGUGGGUUCGAUUCCCAUCACCCGCUCCA
RNAcentral lists this transfer RNA (74 nucleotides) under bacterium. Its description in RNAcentral is "tRNA-Gly". It matches the Rfam family "tRNA". Rfam says of the family: Transfer RNA (tRNA) molecules are approximately 80 nucleotides in length. Their secondary structure includes four short double-helical elements and three loops (D, anti-codon, and T loops). Further hydrogen bonds mediate the characteristic L-shaped molecular structure. tRNAs have two regions of fundamental functional importance: the anti-codon, which is responsible for specific mRNA codon recognition, and the 3' end, to which the tRNAs corresponding amino acid is attached (by aminoacyl-tRNA synthetases). tRNAs cope with the degeneracy of the genetic code in two manners: having more than one tRNA (with a specific anti-codon) for a particular amino acid; and 'wobble' base-pairing, i.e. permitting non-standard base-pairing at the 3rd anti-codon position. RNAcentral also lists the same sequence under 11 other names. The record is from RNAcentral.